CCUGGCCGACUGCAGCUCCGACUCCGACGAUGCCAAGGCUCCCUUGAGUCGGGAGACCUCCUCCGUAAGUCGGGAGACCUCCCCCUCAAGUCGGCCCUCCCGGUCGGUCGACUGUUGCAGCUGGUCGACCAAGAUGACUUUGUCGGCUUCAAGGCCCGCGACCUUGUCUCUCCAGGCCGCGCGCAUGUCGCCGAACUUUCUGUAUCCAGCCUCUAGCUCGGAUAUGUUGAAGACCAGCUGCACAGAAUAAAAACCGACUGUUAAGGGACCAAACUUACGGAAGCUGCAUUAAAAAGCAAGGGAAAGGGGAGCUUACCCGAAUCAUCAUCGGAUAAAAUGAAGACAGCAUGUCAGACACACGCUGGUUCUUCAUUGCAUCGAUGUCGGCAGGAAGGAGGAGCGCC
RNAcentral lists this long non-coding RNA (404 nucleotides) under Elaeis guineensis (African oil palm). RNAcentral's name for it is "long non-coding RNA (EGUI_LNC016045)". Lineage: Eukaryota; Viridiplantae; Streptophyta; Magnoliopsida; Arecales; Arecaceae. The record is from RNAcentral.